Molecule: ribosomal RNA, 333 nt
Filed under: uncultured bacterium
Lineage: Bacteria
Description: partial 16S ribosomal RNA
Rfam family: Bacterial small subunit ribosomal RNA
Source: RNAcentral
CCUACGGGAGGCAGCAGUGAGGAAUAUUGGUCAAUGGGCGCGAGCCUGAACCAGCCAAGUCGCGUGAAGGAUGACUGCCCUACGGGUUGUAAACUUUUUUUAUAAAGGAGUAAAUUGCGGUACGUGUGCCUUUUUGUAUGUACUUUUUGAAUAAGGAUCGGCUAACUCCGUGCCAGCAGCCGCGGUAAUACGGAGUUUCCGAGCGUUAUCCGGAUUUAGUGGGUUUAAGGGGAGCGUAGAUGGGUGGGUAAGUCCGUAGUGAAAGUUUGCGGCUCAACCGUAAAAUUGCAAUUGAUACUGGCAGGCUAGAGUGCAGGAGAGGUAAGCGGAAUU